This is a non-coding RNA of Podarcis lilfordi (Lilford's wall lizard), 80 nucleotides long. NCBI's taxonomy places the organism in Eukaryota, Metazoa, Chordata, Lepidosauria, Squamata, Lacertidae. The record is from the annotation of a GenBank genome assembly.
CAUGAGGGAUACCUCAGUUGGUAGGGCAUGAGACUCUUAAUCUCAGGGUUGUGGGUUCAAGUCUCACACUGGGUGAAAGA